UACGUAGGGGGCGAGCGUUGUCCGGAUUCAUUGGGCGUAAAGAGCUCGUAGGCGGUUCAGUAAGUCGGGUGUGAAAUCUCCGUGCUCAACACGGAGCGGCCACCUGAUACUGCUGUGACUCGAGUCCGGUAGGGGAGUGUGGAAUUCCCGGUGUAGCGGUGAAAUGCGCAGAUAUCGGGAGGAAUACCAGUGGCGAAGGCGGCUUCCUGGCCUGUUCUUGACGCUGAGGCGCGAAAGCUAGGGUAGCAAACGGG
RNAcentral lists this ribosomal RNA (254 nucleotides) under uncultured bacterium. RNAcentral describes it as "partial 16S ribosomal RNA". It matches the Rfam family "Bacterial small subunit ribosomal RNA", at positions 524 to 776 of the family's 1533-position model. The record is from RNAcentral.